Molecule: ribosomal RNA, 403 nt
Filed under: uncultured bacterium
Lineage: Bacteria
Description: bacterial SSU rRNA
Rfam family: Bacterial small subunit ribosomal RNA
Source: RNAcentral
GGGGAAUAUUGCACAAUGGGCGAAAGCCUGAUGCAGCAACGCCGCGUGAGGGAAGACGGUUUUCGGAUUGUAAACCUCUGUCUUUGGUGAAGAAACAAAUGACGGUAGCCAAGGAGGAAGCUCCGGCUAACUACGUGCCAGCAGCCGCGGUAAUACGUAGGGAGCGAGCGUUGUCCGGAAUUACUGGGUGUAAAGGGAGCGUAGGCGGGAAGGCAAGUCAGCUGUGAAAUACAUGGGCUCAACCCAUGGACUGCAGUUGAAACUGUUUUUCUUGAGUGAAGUAGAGGUAGGCGGAAUUCCGAGUGUAGCGGUGAAAUGCGUAGAUAUUCGGAGGAACACCAGUGGCGAAGGCGGCCUACUGGGCUUUAACUGACGCUGAGGCUCGAAAGUGUGGGGAGCAAAC